Molecule: unclassified non-coding RNA, 213 nt
Filed under: uncultured fungus
Lineage: Eukaryota; Fungi
Description: sequence contains ITS2
Source: RNAcentral
AACGCACAUUGCACCUCUCGCAGGGGAGGUAUGCCUGUCUGAGCGUCAUUGAAACCUAUAAACCCUUCUGGGUUUGUGCUGGGCUCCACAUGAGGGUGUGUUGCCUUGAAACCAUAGUCUAACCUGUGGACGAGCUCCUUUCGGACCUGCCAUGGUGAGGCCUCUAUCUCUGAAUUUGACCUCAGAUCAGGUAGGAACACCGCCUGAACUUAA